Molecule: unclassified non-coding RNA, 380 nt
Filed under: uncultured Agaricales
Lineage: Eukaryota; Fungi; Basidiomycota; Agaricomycetes; Agaricales
Description: sequence contains ITS1
Rfam family: 5.8S ribosomal RNA (bases 1-105)
Source: RNAcentral
GAAAUGCGAUAAGUAAUGUGAAUUGCAGAAUUCAGUGAAUCAUCGAAUCUUUGAACGCACCUUGCGCCUCUUGGUAUUCCGAGAGGCAUGCCUGUUUGAGUGUCAUUUAAUUCUCAACCUCAAAAGCUUUUUGUUUCUGAGGCUUGGAUGUGGAGGCUUUUGCUGGCUUGCUCAGAGUCGGCUCCUCUCAAAUGCAUUAGUGGAAACUGUUUGUAGUCCGCAUUGGUGUGAUAAUUAUCGGCGCCAUUGUAUUUGUGGCUACAGCUCUUGUAGGUGUUCCUGCGAGGGUAGCAUAGUGUUCGCUUCAAACCGUCCUAAGUCGCUGGACAACCCUUGACUAUUUUGACCUCAAAUCAGGUAGGACUACCCGCUGAACUUAA